GACGAAGGAUGCAAGCGUUAUCCGGAUUUAUUGGGUUUAAAGGGAGCGUAGGCGGUCUUAUAAGUCAGUGGUGAAAGCUCCUCGCUUAACGAGGAAAUUGCCAUUGAUACUGUAGGACUUGAGAACAGUUGCCGUUGGCGGAAUAUGACAUGUAGUGGUGAAAUACAUAGAGAUGUCAUAGAACACCGAUUGCGAAGGCAGCUAACGGUACUGUAACUGACGCUGAGGCUCGAAAGUGCGGGGAUCAAACAGG
RNAcentral lists this ribosomal RNA (253 nucleotides) under uncultured bacterium. RNAcentral describes it as "partial 16S ribosomal RNA". It matches the Rfam family "Bacterial small subunit ribosomal RNA", at positions 524 to 776 of the family's 1533-position model. The record is from RNAcentral.